Molecule: ribosomal RNA, 253 nt
Filed under: uncultured bacterium
Lineage: Bacteria
Description: partial 16S ribosomal RNA
Rfam family: Bacterial small subunit ribosomal RNA
Source: RNAcentral
UACGUAGGGUGCGAGCGUCAAUCGGAAUUACUGGGCGUAAAGCGUACGCAGGCGGUUCGUUGUGUCUGAUGUGAAAGCCCCGGGCUCAACCUGGGAACUGCAUUGGAAACUGGCGGACUUGAGUGUGGCAGAGGGGGGUGGAAUUCCGCGUGUAGCAGUGAAAUGCGUAGAGAUGCGGAGGAACACCGAUGGCGAAGGCAGCCCCCUGGGCCAACACUGACGCUCAGGCACGAAAGCGUGGGGAGCAAACAGG